CAGGCUUAACACAUGCAAGUCGAGGGGCAGCAUGGUCUUAGCUUGCUAAGGCCGAUGGCGACCGGCGCACGGGUGAGUAACACGUAUCCAACCUGCCGUCUACUCUUGGACAGCCUUCUGAAAGGAAGAUUAAUACAAGAUGGCAUCAUGAGUCCGCAUGUUCACAUGAUUAAAGGUAUUCCGGUAGACGAUGGGGAUGCGUUCCAUUAGAUAGUAGGCGGGGUAACGGCCCACCUAGUCUUCGAUGGAUAGGGGUUCUGAGAGGAAGGUCCCCCACAUUGGAACUGAGACACGGUCCAAACUCCUACGGGAGGCAGCAGUGAGGAAUAUUGGUCAAUGGGCGCAGGCCUGAACCAGCCAAGUAGCGUGAAGGAUGACUGCCCUAUGGGUUGUAAACUUCUUUUAUAUGGGAAUAAAGUUUUCCACGUGUGGAAUUUUGUAUGUACCAUAUGAAUAAGGAUCGGCUAACUCCGUGCCAGCAGCCGCGGUAAUACGGAGGAUCCGAGCGUUAUCCGGAUUUAUUGGGUUUAAAGGGAGCGUAGGUGGACAGUUAAGUCAGUUGUGAAAGUUUGCGGCUCAACCGUAAAAUUGCAGUUGAUACUGGCUGUCUUGAGUACAGUAGAGGUGGGCGGAAUUCGUGGUGUAGCGGUGAAAUGCUUAGAUAUCACGAAGAACUCCGAUUGCGAAGGCAGCUCACUGGACUGCAACUGGACCUGAUGCUCGAAAG
Molecule: ribosomal RNA, 727 nt
Filed under: uncultured Bacteroidales bacterium
Lineage: Bacteria; Pseudomonadati; Bacteroidota; Bacteroidia; Bacteroidales
Description: bacterial SSU rRNA
Rfam family: Bacterial small subunit ribosomal RNA
Source: RNAcentral